Molecule: unclassified non-coding RNA, 358 nt
Filed under: soil metagenome
Description: partial contains 5.8S ribosomal RNA, internal transcribed spacer 2, and large subunit ribosomal RNA
Rfam family: 5.8S ribosomal RNA (bases 1-120)
Source: RNAcentral
GAUGAAGAACGCAGCGAAAUGCGAUAAGUAAUGUGAAUUGCAGAAUUCAGUGAAUCAUCGAAUCUUUGAACGCACAUUGCGCCCGUCAGUAUUCUGGCGGGCAUGCCUGUUCGAGCGUCAUUACGCCCCUCAAGUCCCCUGUGGACUUGGUGUUGGGGAUCGGCGAGGCUGGUUUUCCAGCACAGCCGUCCCUUAAAUUAAUUGGCGGUCUCGCCGUGGCCCUCCUCUGCGCAGUAGUAAAACACUCGCAACAAGAGCCCGGCGCGGUCCACUGCCGUAAAACCCCCCAACUUUUUAUAGUUGACCUCGAAUCAGGUAGGACUACCCGCUGAACUUAAGCAUAUCAAUAAGCGGAGGA